Molecule: transfer RNA, 66 nt
Filed under: Marmota monax (woodchuck)
Lineage: Eukaryota; Metazoa; Chordata; Mammalia; Rodentia; Sciuridae
Description: tRNA.Ala
Source: RNAcentral
GGUUGUAGCUCAGUGGUAGAGCACAUGCUUAGCAUAUAUGAGUCCUGGGAUCAAUCCCUAAGACCA